Molecule: long non-coding RNA, 1219 nt
Filed under: Numida meleagris (helmeted guineafowl)
Lineage: Eukaryota; Metazoa; Chordata; Aves; Galliformes; Numididae
Description: lncRNA (ENSNMEG00000009502.1)
Source: RNAcentral
GAGAUGUGGCAGACAUCCUGCAGGCACACAGGGAGCCCUGCCACUAGCAUUGCAAAGGAGGGUCGAACUUCUUCAUGCUCCAAAAUCCAGACCUUGCGAGGACCGUUGUUGAAGUGCUGGUAGGGGAAGGCUGAUGAUGUGCGGCAAAGCCUGGUGCCAUCUGCCUUCAAUACACGGCAGACUCUUCCUGAUAGCACUGCUGCAUAGCAUCCUGCAGCUGACAACCAAUCUGAGUACCAAGAGUGGAAAAAGAGGUGGCCUGGGACUGCAGCACUGAAGAUCGGCAAUACUCUAUGAGCUCUUCUGCCAACAACAGCCCUGGUUUCUCAGUGCUGCUGCUCCUGGGGAGACACACAAGCUGUUAGCCUGACUUUGGCAACCCAGUGGCUGGAGCAAAGUGCAGUGUUUCUUGGGCUGCAGCCACAUCAUGGUCUGAUUGUGGGUAGUGAUAUCCCUCUGCAGAGGCAAGGCUGCUCAUAUCAGAGGCACUGAGAUCUGUCAGGGAGGUGCUGAGCCAGCAUGGGCACCAGCUGUCUUCUCUGGUGAGAACAGUGUCCAGAGGUACACACAGAAUGCUGAGGCAGAGAAAAACAGCACAGCAAGGAGGAAGGAUGCUGUCAAAUUGCCGCAGUUCUUGCUUCCAUGAGGCCAGUUGCUCUGAGCCAGAGUCUGGAUUCAUGACCCAAAGGAUGCAUGAGGAUCCCUAUUCAGAAAAUGCAAAGGAGAUUGUUCCUGUCACCAACGCUGACAACAUCUCCCUGGGAGACAAGUCUCUGAUGGAUGUGACCCCCUGGUUGGUGCCUCAUGUGAUGUUCCAUCUCCUGCUUCUGCUUCCACCCACGCUCCCCUCUCACAUGUACCAUGCGCUGCUGAGGGUUCUCUCGUGGAAGGCCAGGGGCUCAGCCUCCUCAGCAAGCCAGCAAUGUCUGAAUAGGAGACGAAUAGCAGAUAAGGCCUAAACCUUGCACUUCUGUGUGAAUAAUACUGAACUUCGCCAGCGGCAUGGCAGAGCCAUAUGCAUGGCAGCAACCUAAGGGAGAAAAAGGAAAGGAUAGACUUCUACUGAGAAGCAUCUGAAAGGAUUUCAUCACCAGAUACACUAUUGCUUUCUUCAUGCUUCAUUUCUUCACCAUGAAGAAAAAGGAAAAGAAAAGCACUGAGAGGCUUGGGGCUGAAAAUUCUUUCUGAUUCCUAAGAUAGCUUUCCUGUACAAAAAUUU